CGGAACGGACGCUAAAUACCGCAUACGUCCUACGGGAGAAAGCUGGGGACCUUCGGGCCUUGCGCUAUCAGAUGAGCCUAGGUCGGAUUAGCUAGUUGGUGAGGUAAUGGCUCACCAAGGCUACGAUCCGUAACUGGUCUGAGAGGAUGAUCAGUCACACUGGAACUGAGACACGGUCCAGACUCCUACGGGAGGCAGCAGUGGGGAAUAUUGGACAAUGGGCGAAAGCCUGAUCCAGCCAUGCCGCGUGUGUGAAGAAGGUCUUCGGAUUGUAAAGCACUUUAAGUUGGGAGGAAGGGCAUUAACCUAAUACGUUAGUGUUUUGACGUUACCGACAGAAUAAGCACCGGCUAACUCUGUGCCAGCAGCCGCGGUAAUACAGAGGGUGCAAGCGUUAAUCGGAAUUACUGGGCGUAAAGCGCGCGUAGGUGGUUUGUUAAGUUGAAUGUGAAAUCCCCGGGCUCAACCUGGGAACUGCAUCCAAAACUGGCAAGCUAGAGUAUGGUAGAGGGUAGUGGAAUUUCCCUGUGUAGCGGUGAAAUGCGUAGAUAUAGGANAGGAACACCAGUNGGNCGNAAGGCGACUACCUGGACUGAUACUGACACUGAGGUGCGAAAGCGUGGGGNAGCAAANCAGGAUUAGAUACCCUGGUAGUCCACGCCGUAAACGAUNGUCAACUAGCCGUUGGGAGUCUUNGAANCUNCUUAGUNGGCNGCAGCUNAACGCAUUNAAGUUGACCNGCCUGGGGNANGUACGGCCGCAAGGNUUAAAACNUCAAANUGAAUUNGACGGGNGGCCCGCACAAGCNGGUNGGANGCAUGNUGGUUUNAAUUNCGNAANGCAACGNCGAAGAACCNUUANCCAGGNCNCUUGACANUCCAAUGNAACNUUUCNUAGANGAUANGAUUGGNUNGCCNUUCNGGGAANCUCNUGNAUACAGGUGCUGCAUGGCUGUCGUCAGCUCGUGUUGUGAGAUGUUGGGUUAAGUCCCGCAACGAGCGCAACCCCUAUCCUUAGUUGCUAGCAGGUAAUGCUGAGAACUCUAAGGAGACUGCCGGUGAUAAACCGGAGGAAGGUGGGGACGACGUCAAGUCAUCAUGGCCCUUACGUGUAGGGCUACACACGUGCUACAAAUGGCGCAUACAGAGUGCUGCGAACUCGCGAGAGUAAGCGAAUCACUUAAAGUGCGUCGUAGUCCGGAUUGGAGUCUGCAACUCGACUCCAUGAAGUCGGAAUCGCUAGUAAAUCGCGUAUCAGAAUGACCGCGGUGAAUACGUUCCCGGGCCUUGUACACACCGCCCGUCACACCAUGGGAGUGGGUUGCUCCAGAAAGUAGAUAGUCUAAACCCUUCGGGAGGACGUUUUACCACGGAAUUGAUUUCUGGACCUG
RNAcentral lists this ribosomal RNA (1390 nucleotides) under uncultured bacterium. Its description in RNAcentral is "partial 16S ribosomal RNA". It matches the Rfam family "Bacterial small subunit ribosomal RNA", at positions 151 to 1478 of the family's 1533-position model. The record is from RNAcentral.